This 433-nucleotide ribosomal RNA is filed under the name uncultured bacterium. Its description in RNAcentral is "partial 16S ribosomal RNA". It matches the Rfam family "Bacterial small subunit ribosomal RNA", at positions 29 to 507 of the family's 1533-position model. The record is from RNAcentral.
AGCGAACGCUGGCGGCAUGCCUAACACAUGCAAGUCGAACGAGACCUUCGGGUCUAGUGGCGCACGGGUGCGUAACGCGUGGGAACCUGCCCUUAGGUUCGGAAUAACUCCCCGAAAGGGGUGCUAAUACCGGAUAAUGUCUUCGGACCAAAGAUUUAUCGCCUUUGGAUGGGCCCGCGUUGGAUUAGCUAGUUGGUAGGGUAAAAGCCUACCAAGGCGACGAUCCAUAGCUGGUCUGAGAGGAUGAUCAGCCACACUGGGACUGAGACACGGCCCAGACUCCUACGGGAGGCAGCAGUGGGGAAUAUUGGACAAUGGGCGAAAGCCUGAUGCAGCAAUGCCGCGUGAAUGAUGAAGGCCUUAGGGUUGUAAAGCUCUUUUACCCGGGAUGAUAAUGACAGUACCGGGAGAAUAAGCCCCGGCUAACUCCGUG